UCUGGCGGCAGUAGCGCGGUGGUCCCACCUGACCCCAUGCCGAACUCAGAAGUGAAACGCCGUAGCGCCGAUGGUAGUGUGGGGUCUCCCCAUGCGAGAGUAGGGAACUGCUAGGC
Molecule: ribosomal RNA, 116 nt
Filed under: Escherichia coli
Lineage: Bacteria; Pseudomonadati; Pseudomonadota; Gammaproteobacteria; Enterobacterales; Enterobacteriaceae
Source: RNAcentral